RNAcentral lists this non-coding RNA (55 nucleotides) under Salix viminalis (osier). Lineage: Eukaryota; Viridiplantae; Streptophyta; Magnoliopsida; Malpighiales; Salicaceae. The record is from RNAcentral.
ACGAGCCACAUGCAGGGAAACUUGCACGUGUGGUUCUGGCCGGGGACUCCGGUAU